Molecule: unclassified non-coding RNA, 282 nt
Filed under: Hevea brasiliensis (rubber tree)
Lineage: Eukaryota; Viridiplantae; Streptophyta; Magnoliopsida; Malpighiales; Euphorbiaceae
Source: RNAcentral
UGGGCAGUCAGUUGCUCGGUGGCCGGAUUUCCCACAUUUGAAGCAUGCCCCUGCAAAGCUCCUAUUCCUGUUUCCGAAGGAAGAUGGACGGCUGGAUCUUCCCCCACUGAUCAACCAAUCACCACUGCUGCCUCCUCUGGAGGGUUUCGACCAGCUAUUGUCAGUUCUGUAACUUCGCCCACCACGCCGCAUCUCAUCAUCGCUGUCUGAACCGCGGCCUCCCCAGCCUCGGGAACUCCUCUGACCCCGGUCCCGGAAGCCACCUCGUGAACUACGGUCCCG